AUGGCCAUUGACUUGAACAUAGCACCAGGAGAGGGAGAAGUUGAACAUGUGCCUCCCUUGCAUGAAGAAUUGCUCCAGGUUGGUCAUCAAAUCGAUUUGAACCUGAACCCAGAGGACGAACUUGAGGUUGCCUUGCAUGAAGAACUGCUCCAGGUUGGUCGUCAAAUCGAUCUGAACAUGAGCCCAGAGGACGAACUUGAGGCUGCCUUGCAUGAAGAACCCCAUGUCGGUCUUCAUGUAGAAGAUGAACAUGAGCCCGACAUUGCCCAUGGAGAAGAGGAACAUGAGGCCAAUGUUGCCCAUGGAGAAGAGAACCUGCAUGAAUCAGAUGAAUCGGACCAUGAACUUGAAGAACAAGGCGGUGUUUUCCAGAGCAUGGAAGAGGAAGUGCAAGCAAUGGAUGAAGCUCUAAAUAACCUUCAAGUUGACGAGGAAGACUAUGGUGUGUAUGCAGGCGAUAUAGAGAUUCAGUUUGAGGAAGAAGAGCUUGAUGAUUCAGCAGAUGAAGCCAUGUAUGAUUCAGCACCAGAAGAAGACAUGUAUGUGGAGCAAGAGCAACAAGAUAAUGAGCAAGUUCAUCAUGAAGACAAAUACAAGAAUUUAACAGAUUUGCAAAGGACUGGUAUUUAUGAAGAGUUGCUAGCAAGAAGUGUCAAUCGGAAAUUAAAGAAGACCACAACCAGAGAAGUUGCAAACAUGUUCCAUGUUUCGGUGCAGAAGGUCAGACGUGUUUGGAGGAGAGUGAAGGAGUGCCAUCGACAAGGCGUACCCGUUGAUGUAAGAUCAAGGAAGCCGAAAAACUGUGGGCGCAAAAGGAUUGUAGUUGACCUCAGUAUGGUUCCCGAGAUUUUCCGUCAUCUAGUAUCCAUGGCCAGAGUAAUUUUCAUAUGA
This 891-nucleotide ribosomal RNA is filed under the name Triticum aestivum (bread wheat). RNAcentral's name for it is "partial small subunit ribosomal RNA". Lineage: Eukaryota; Viridiplantae; Streptophyta; Magnoliopsida; Poales; Poaceae. The record is from RNAcentral.